UGCGGAUUCAUAUUGGGAGAACUGAUCUUCACGUAACACCUUAAUUAAUCCUGGACACUAAUAUCUAGAUGACGGUUUUGCCAUGGCCAGUGUGGAAGUGCAAGGGAAUGGAUGAGGAUGCAGAGUUGAGGGAAGGAGAAAAAAGAGGUAUGUUUAGUGCUGUAAGGGGCAGUAAAUGUAUAGGUGAAGGUUUUGCCAUGGCCAGUGUGGAAGCCUUCAUGCAUCGUGAGGGAAUACGAGGGAAUGGAGAUGAGGAUGCGGAGUUGAGGAAAGGAGAAGAAAAAGGCUUGUGAAGUGCUGUAAGGGGUAGUAAAUGUGUAGAGAAUCUGUGUUGAGAUGCUUUUCAUCCGUUAGAAAUUUGAGGUAAUUAUUAAAAAUUUUGAGUAGCGUAAAUUAUCCAUAUUUACGAUGAACCAUUUUUGUGCAUGGAGGUUGUGCAGUCUUUUAGUGUUGGGAUGCCUCGUCCAGGAUUACUUCCCUUGGUAGAGGUGUGGUGAGCCCCGACCUUAAGUGUAGGUAGAAAGCCUGAAGUACUUUUUCUUCCCUUUCUGUCCAGCCGUCUCCAUUCUUUCCCUCCUCUGCUGUCUUUAGGGAGAGGUCUGUCUGCAUACCAAAAGUUUAACAGACCAGUAGAAGCUUUCAGGCAUAUGAGAAUAGCUGAUUCAAUUGCCAUGAAUAAUGAAACUCCCAUUUUUCAAUACCUGACUUGCACCAAGUAAAUCAAAUAAGUAGAAAUUCACAUCUGUUCAGUUCUUCCAGAAGGCAGUGUUAUCACCUCAUCAUGAUCAUUGUCGUCACCACCAUUGUUGUGAUGAUCAUUAUCAACAAUGUUUUUUAUAUUUUUAUAUGACCUUGAUUUGCUGUUCUCUGAUUGGUAUCAAAACAUCCAGAAGGCAGACAAUGGCAGUUCAGGUGUUCAGCUUCUGCAAUAUAAUCUGCUCCUCAUGUGUCACAGGUUGAAGAAUAGUAUUACAAUUUAAAUGAGUUGAAAACAUGUAAACAAAAUUCCAGUAGUUAUUUGCCCCUUAUUGGAUUGCACAUGUUAUCCAAGGCAUGAGGUGCUGACAUGCUAGUAAACACCUGUAAAGCCCAAUGUAAAGCAGCUGUGUUGAUCCCUUCCAUCCUAAAGCAAGUUUACACUUCUUUGAGGGAGUAGUAAGUAUGAGUCAAACUGAUGCAACAUUUACUUCGUGAGUUUUUUUUUUUUUUUUUCUGCUUUAUUGGUGGACAGUGACACAAAACUGGCAACAACUGAUGAUGCAGAAAGUAACAGAAAUGCAAACCACAAGCCUACUUUUUGAAAUGCACAAUGUCCCACCACCAAUGGCAUUCCCCUCAUUUUCUUUUUAUAUGCCUUUGCAGUCCCCAAGGAUAACCAAAUUUUACUUUACACCCUCUUAUUAAUUGCAUAGAGUAACCAUAUUUCAUUUAACUUGAUGUGUAUCCCUCAGAAAGAUGACAAGACAUUGAAAUCAGUGACAUUCUUCCCAGAGAGUCUUUGAUAAACUCUACUUCACAGUGCAGAGAAUGGAAAGGAAAUACAUCCACCAUGACAUCAGAAUGAGAGACGAGAACUUCAUAACUGAGGACUUGGUGUCUAAAUGAAAACUUAUCAGCAUCAUAGUCAUUAGUAAUCUUUCUGCAUCAGUUAAUUUGUUUUUAUCAGCAUUAUCAAGCACUCUCAUCACCACCACCACCAUCACCACCAUCACCAUAUACAGGCCAAUGCAGGACAAGGGCCGACCUUUCUUCACACAUCAGCGCUGUUUGUUGGUUGUAGUUCAUGUUGGCAUCUUGUGUAUUGUUAUUAGUGUGAUGUCUGUGUUGUGUCUCCCUCACCUUGUUUCUCAGCUCUGGGUUAUCAUUUGGUCAGUCUAACCGUCCAACUGUUGUUAUUUGCUCUAUGCAUAACAUAAGCUGUCCAAGGCUUCUUCUCGCUAUUGGUGGCCAGAAUAUCAUGAACAGUAUUCGCUCCAUAACUUUUUGCGUUGUCUUUUUUUCAUUAUUUUUGUGACGCUUUGUUGAACUGACAAUGUGUUUUUUUGUUUUUGAUUUUUUAGUGAUGGUAAAUGAUUUUUUUUAUGAUAUCGGCCAAUACACUUCACUCCAUAUUUAUCAAUUUUCUGUGGUAAGUUACUUUUUAUACCACUUAUUUCUUCAAAGUAUUUCAUCCCACACUUCAUUAAUGUCUUUGUUUUACUUUCCUUUUAAUAACCAGCUUACAUGGUUUGUCUCAAAUAGGUCUACUCCCAAAAUCUUCUCAUCGUAUAUUGAUUGCAAAUUCAUGUCUGACCAGAGUCUUUCUUAUAUUUAGUUUCUUUAUGUAUCAUCAUAUAAAUGCCUGUUAGCUUUUUAUUUUUUUAAUUUAUUUAUUCUACAUUACAAAGUAUCAUCAAAUCUGACACCAAUCGUCACUAAUUUGGUCCCUGAUUAUUCGCUUUGCAAGUUAACUGCACCUUGCUACCACACAGGAACUUGCAGAGUAAUGACUUCUGCCUGAAACAUGACUCCCCUCUAAUCUUGAAGCCAGUGAAGGAUAGAGUGUAAGUCAGUAGCUUCUUAUAUAGCAGAGAAUAACUAAAAAAAAAUCAUGGCCAGGAACUCAUCUCAACAUCUGUUUCUCUGCUCUUGCAUCACAGAAGGCCGUGGCAUCAGCACCUUAAAUCCCUCCCUCCUAUUCUCACUUGAUGUAUGUCCAAGAGUAUUAUUACUUUAGGGUUCCAGAAGGCAACAUCUUAGGUACACCACAUGCAUACUGAAGACACUGGGAUGGGGCAGCAUUACAUAGUUUCAACUCCUCAGUGCAUCACAAAAUAUACUCUUCAGUGCCAUUUAACUAAGUGGACACCAUCACACUCUUCUCUAUGUUCGUAUGUGUUAACUGUGCCAGAAACAUGUCAUUUGGUUGAUCAAGGGUCUCAUGUGUGUUGAUUCCCCCGUGCAGACCUGAGAAACAUCAAACUAUUGCUUACGUAAAUUCAUUGCCCUGCUGACUGAGUAAACUGCCGAGACUUUGCUGCAGAAAUUUGGUGGAGUCAGUUGAGGAUGUUCUGAAAGGUAGAUUUAAGUACAGAAUUGAGUAUUGCUUGCUGUCCAGUCAUACGGAGCUGAUUUAACUAAGAUUUCACUGGGAUAAAAUUCAUAAUUUCUCUCUCUCUCUCUCUCUCUCUCUCUCUCUCUUUUCCUUUUGUGUCACAAUGUAAGGAAUUGAGUGUUUUGCAAUCUGUCACCUUGCACUUGGAUGUUUGUUGUUGUACUUCCCUGCAUUUACUCUUAGUUUUGUUUUGCAAAAGUACAAAUAAAGUUUAUUUUAUCUCACGAAAUAAGUUUUCCGGUAACAUUUUAUGACGGAGAGAUUAGGCUCCAUAUUUGGUGACUUUUUUUAUAUAAGUUCACCAUGCAAUAUCUACUUUUGGGAAGUGCCAAGACAUAGAGCAGGAAACAAAGUAAACUGUUUUAACAUUGCCCUGUGAAGGAGUAACACCACUGAUGCAUUUCAGAAUAGAACAAAGUGCAUUUUACUGAGCAAUGCAAUAUUACCAAUCUGUGUACCUGGAUAAAGAUUAUGAACCAUUAGUAAACAGGCAAAGUAUUUCAAUGUUUUAUUCUAUCUUGUUUCAUGGUUUAAAAGUCGUUCUCAAUUCAUUUAUGUUUUCAACUGUGACUUUUCUACUUGACUUUUCAUAGUUUCAAGUGCAGGGAUUCUGGCUACUUAAUGAAAACACUUGCGACUGAGAGCGUGCCAAGCUGUCCUGUCCCUUGUGCCGUCAUGCAGGCAUGAGAGUGACGUACGAUUCCUGCACUGCACAAAGUGUCCUGCGCUAGUGAGGUGUGGAGGAGGCAGAGAUGUGUUUCAGCUAUAAUGUGCCCACUUACGAUUUAUUUUUUUCACAUGAAGUAAUAUUCCGAACAUUUUUUUUUAUGUACAUGAAGGUAGUAUUACUGUAGCUUAAGUUAUGGGUAAAUACAACCUAUAUUUUAUACUGAGCAAAGGCUAAAGUAGUGAAGGUUUGUUGUUUAAUGCCAAGCCAAGUCAAAAUAGCUUCAGGAUUUUCCCUACUCCACUAAGUGAUAGCCUGGUCCUGGUAGGUCAUGUCCGUCAACACAUGGGAGCAGUCGAGACAGACUUGUUGUGAACCACACUUCAAGAUACUUAGACAGGAAUGUUCACCGGUAACUUUUCUGUUGAAUUCAUUGAGGGAAAGCAGGUCUUCAAGAUACUAAAUUACCAAAGUUUGUUGUAUGUUUGAUUGCCAAAUGACUUGUGGGUCGCCCCGCAGCAGUUCUUUGUUAACAUUCCCACUCGUGUCUUUGAUAUUAAAGCAUUUACACUGCAGGUUAUUUUUUACUACAUUGUGUAUUUUAUAUUCCAGUAACUACAGAUUAGAUCAAUUCCAGUGGAACAUUUUGAUCAACAAGGCUAGCAUAUGUGUUCUCUAUUACCCUUCCAAAGAUUUGUGGUAUGUAAUAAAGUUUUUUUAAUGUAUGUUUAUAUAUGUACAUAUAGACUUGUUAGAACUGUGUACCUCAUGGCUAUCAAGGCUAACUACAAUUUGUAUGUGUGCAGAACUUGGGUAUGUUAUAAAUUUAGUGAUGCAUCAUAUGUGAGUCAGGUUCACCCUAGCGUGUCGUGUAGGAGGCCUCUAGCAGUCUGCACGAGCCUGGUCAUGGAAGAAUACUUUGUGAUGUAGACGAUAGCUAACUGUUCCUACCAUGUGUGUCCGAGGAGGCUGGCAGCAGCUACCUCUGAUGGCUGCUGCAGCUCGCCUUGCCAGUCAUUAUAUUGGAUAUAAAGAAGUUAAUAAAAAGACCAAUAAAGUGAAUA
Molecule: long non-coding RNA, 4825 nt
Organism: Eriocheir sinensis (Chinese mitten crab)
Lineage: Eukaryota; Metazoa; Arthropoda; Malacostraca; Decapoda; Varunidae
Exons: 2
Source: RefSeq, a predicted model, not a curated record